GAUCAACCCAGCCUCUGGCCCUGGAGGGACAAUCACAGCAGUAGUGUGAGGAAUUCCUUUUGGCAUGACAGAGGUCUGUAUUUGUCUGAUCAAAGGCAUUAUGGUAGGGUCAGCUAGAGAAGAGUACUCAGGGUCACUGGUAUGUGCAGCCCCAGUUAUGAUCCUUGGAGCAGCCAGGGCUGUUGCCACAAGAGAAAAGGCAAGGGCUGGUGAUUUAAUGUUGGCAUCUCUGCAGGUGUCAUUCAGAAUCAGAAGCUCAUAACUGCUGUCUUUAGUUUUACUUUGCUUUAUUCUGAGCAUCUUCUACAGUGAUUAGUACAUCUGAAUCUUCAUGUAUAUGCCCCCGAUUCAGAUUGUUCUGUUUGCUCCUCCUUCGCUUUAUCUCUUUCUGAGCCUUUGCCUCAGGCCAUUGUUUUACAUCCAUUUUCUGUCUCAAGCUCUUUAGCUGUAAAUCCUCUGGGGCCAAAGUUCCUACCAAGAAAAUUAAAGUCUAGAUAUUUAAAUUUUUUGAAUUUUUUUUACACAAAUAGAGCACAGCUUUUCAUUUCUCUGGUUGCACAUGAUGCAGAGUCACUCCAUUUGUUAAAUCAUACCAUACAAAGGGUAGUAAUGUCUUUCUCAUUCCACCAUCUCACCCCCACACACCCUCCCCUUAACCUGCUCUCCUCUGCUCAAUCCAAAAUUUCUCAUUCUUUCCUUGACUCUCCCCCAGAAUAUUAUGGACCUGAUCCAUUUAUCAGAGAAUAUAUUUGGAACUUGUUUUGUUCCAUGAUAGUCUCCAACUCUGUCCAUUUACCUGCCAAUUUUAUAAUUUCAUUCUUCUUUAAGGCUCAGUAAUAUUCCACUCUGCAUAUGUACCAGUUUGUUUAUACAUUCAACUGUUGAAGGGCAACUAGGUUGUUUCCAUGGAUUACCUGCUGUGAAUUCAGCUGCUAUGAUCACUGAUGUCACUGCAUUACUAUGGUGUGCUGGUUUUAAGUCUUUUGCAUAUACACUUAGGAGUGGGAAAGCUGGGUCAAAUGGUGGUUCCCUCAAAGUUUUCUAAGGAAUCUCCAAUCUGCUUUCCAAAGUGGUCACACCAUUUUUUUAGUCACAAAAAUUUGAAUAUUCUUUUACAGACACAUUUAGUUUCUCUCAUAACUGAAUAAUAGUUCCCACUUGGAGGCUUGUACAUGAACUACAGUGAAAGUUGAGGAAUGUGCAUAUAGUGCACUAUAAGGAGAUAUAGUGACAUAUGCCACAGUGGUUCUGGUGGCUCAGCUGUAUGGACAACCUUAUCCCCUAGAUGUAUGCUAAUAGAGGAAUUGGUGAUAGGUGACAAAAUCUGCUGUUUAGGGCAAGCCCCACAGAAGAAUCCUAAUGUAGACCAUGGGAGUUUGGGAACAGUCA
This 1389-nucleotide long non-coding RNA is filed under the name Marmota monax (woodchuck). The record is from RNAcentral. Lineage: Eukaryota; Metazoa; Chordata; Mammalia; Rodentia; Sciuridae.